CACCUUGGCCUCCCAAAGUGCUGGGAUUACAGCUGCUGACACGUCGUGACUCAGCUGUUACCAAUUUCCCUGGAAGCCCUGGAAAGGCCACCCAGGCCCGCUCUCUCACUGGUUUAUGUUGAACUGAUGGGGAGACUGUGGCUUCGAUCAGGGGAAGCCAGCUGCCGUGUUGUGAGGACGCUCAAGCAAUCCUAUGCAGAGGCCCACAUGGUGAGGAACUGAGGCUCCUGCCACCAGCCAUGUGAACGCACCAUCUUGGAAGUGGAUCCUCCAACUCCAUCCAAGCCUUCAGAUGAAGAAGCCCGGACCAACAUCUCAACUGCAGUCUCAUGAGAGACCCUGAGCCAGAACCAUCCACCUAAGAUGCUACCAAAUUCAUGAUCCGUAGAAACAAUGAGAUGAUAAGUGUUUGUUGCAUUGAGCCACUAAGUUUUGUGGAAAUUUGUUACUCAGCAAUAGACAACUAAUAUGAGAGUCGGCUGAGGGUCACAUUCUCAUUCAGUAGUGGGCUUUGUUAACCCUUUGCCUACUGUGGUUCACUUAAUAAAUUCUCGACGAAUAAAGAGUGAAAAUGAGCA
This is a long non-coding RNA of Propithecus coquereli (Coquerel's sifaka), 578 nucleotides long. RefSeq lists it as uncharacterized. The transcript has 3 exons. The record is from RefSeq and is a predicted model, not a curated record. Lineage: Eukaryota; Metazoa; Chordata; Mammalia; Primates; Indriidae.